CCCUUAGACGUUCUGGGCCGCACGCGCGCUACACUGACAAAGGCAACGAGCUACUCUUCACCGAAAGGUGUGGGUAAUCUUUUGAAACUUUGUCGUGCUGGGGAUAGAUCCUUGCAAUUUUUGAUCUUAAACGAGGAAUUCCUAGUAAGCGCAAGUCAUCAACUUGCGUUGAUUACGUCCCUGCCCUUUGUACACACCGCCCGUCGCUACUACCGAUUGAAUGGUUUAGUGAGGCCUUCGGAUCCGCGACUCGUUUGUGGAGAAGUUGGACAAACUCAGUCAUUUAGAGGAAGUAAAAGUCGUAACA
Molecule: ribosomal RNA, 307 nt
Filed under: uncultured eukaryote
Lineage: Eukaryota
Description: partial 18S ribosomal RNA
Rfam family: Eukaryotic small subunit ribosomal RNA
Source: RNAcentral